Molecule: ribosomal RNA, 607 nt
Filed under: uncultured fungus
Lineage: Eukaryota; Fungi
Description: eukaryotic LSU rRNA
Rfam family: 5.8S ribosomal RNA (bases 197-350)
Source: RNAcentral
UCCGUAGGUGAACCUGCGGAGGGAUCAUUAUAGAGCUUAAAAACUCCUAAAACCAUUGUGAACUCAUCCUAUAUCGUUGCUUCGGCAGGCGGCCCCUCGCGGGCCCUGGCGUUCCCUCACCCGGAAGGCGCCCGCCGAAGGCACAAAACUCUUCUGUAUUUUAUGGAACCUCUGAUUAAACAAGCAAAUAAAUUAAAACUUUCAACAACGGAUCUCUUGGUUCUGGCAUCGAUGAAGAACGCAGCGAAAUGCGAUAAGUAAUGUGAAUUGCAGAAUUCAGUGAAUCAUCGAAUCUUUGAACGCACAUUGCGCCCGCUAGUAUUCUAGCGGGCAUGCCUGUUCGAGCGUCAUUUCAACCCUCAAGCUCUGCUUGGUGUUGGGGUCCUACGGCUGCCGUAGGCCCUGAAAGAAAGUGGCGGGCUCGCUACAACUCCGAGCGUAGUAGAAAUACACCUCGCUAGGGAAGAGUAGUGUGCUCCAGCCGGUAAAGCCCCAAAACUUUAACCCAGGUUGACCUCGGAUCAGGUAGGAAUACCGCUGAACUUAAGCAUAUCAAUAAGGCGGGAGGGGGAAGGUCGGACUGGCCAAGGGCACACAGGGGGGGAUA